AUGCCUCGACAGAGGAUUUUCCCGAAUACUAUCAAAGAAGCCGUGCAAGAGAUAAUCCCCUAUUUGGAGGAUACGAGCAAUGCUGCACACAAGGCCAUAUAUUUUGAUGGAUGGGAUGGGAUGGCUGCUUCGGUGGUGCUUAGAGCCAUAGUUGAAGACCCGCCACCGUCACUGCUGAAGAAAUUCGACAAGAUCAUCCAUGUUGAUUGCUCGAAGUGGAAAAGCCAAAGAGCACUCCAAAGGACAAUCGCACAAGAACUGAAGCUCCCUCAUCGGGUAAUGGAUAUUUUGGAUAGGCAAGAUGAAGAUGAUGAUUUCAGAGGGGUAGAUGAAAGCUCCAGAGCUGAGAUUGGAGUCAUUGCGAGGGAGCUACAUAAAGCCCUACGAGAACACAUAUGCUUAUUGGUCUUCCAUAAUGGCAGCAACAAUUUGGUUGACUUGGCUGAUUGUGGCAUUCCUCAACCGCCUAUCUUUGAUGUUAAGGUAUUGUGGACAUUUCGAGGAAGGCUUCGGCUCAACCAAGGAAUUAGUGAGAAGGUGGAUCCUUCGCAUCUUUUCCUUUAUGAUGAGUACAGUACUUACGGGUGGAAUUAUUUGCUUCAAAUAGAGGCUAGAGAAAUUGCUGGGUACACGGAUAAUCUUGGUGCAGCAGCAGCUACCGAGUGUUGCUUGUAUCUCUUGUCAUUAAAUUCUCAAGGAGGCAAUAUCAUGGACUAUGACUGGGCCACACAUGCUUCCAACUAUUGGGUAUGUGAUGGGAUUAUACAGGGAGGUCAGGGUGAUGAAGCAUGGAAGGUUGCUGCUGCUCUGCAUCAACAUAUAGAUAUGGAGGAUUAUGCAUCUAAUGCACUGCCCUCUUUUGGUCAUCGGUUGGAGACUCCUCCGAAACGAUGGAUAUUGGCCAAGGACAGCUCUGUUGUGCAGCCAGAGUCAACGUCAUUUUUCCUCACUGCAGCCGCAAGCGAGUCUGAUCCAUUGUUAAGACCCUUACCUAAUGACAUGUUUCAUCAAUCGGACAAACUUCGGGUGCUCAAGUUAUGUCAUUGCACCUUCAGUUUUUCCUCUCCUCCUUUUAGUCGUUGCCACAAGUUGAGAUUCCUUGGAUUAGAUGGCUGCAAGGACCAGCGAGCAGAAGAAGAUGAGAAGCAAGAUAUGGAUUUUUUGAAGAGCCUAUGGGUGAUAGACAUACAAAAUACAGACUGGCAUCUGCCUUCAUCACCAGAGAUGAUAAAGCAGAUGGCUGCAAACAUUAGGGAAGUACAUAUAAAGAAUGGAAUGUUUUGGCACAUCAUUUUUGCAUUGGGACAGCCACAAAAUCUUCACAAGCUUCGCGUUAUUGACCCUACAUGCUGCUCUUUGGAGACAGGUUUGCCCAGCUUGUCAAGUUCAACUAGCCUCAAGACUCUGGUUCUAGAUGGUCGUGUUGGUUUGAAAGUUAUAGAAGGACUCCCUCCAUCCCUUGAAUCAUUCAGCUUAGAUGCCAGACCAAAAAAGGAUGGUUACAAGGAAGCCAAAAUAAGUCGCAUCUCCAUGGCUGGCUGUGCAAGAUUGUCUGACUUCACACUGCGUGGAUCACUUCCAAACCUUGAGGAGCUGGACCUCUCAGGCACAGGAGUCAAGACACUUGUCCUUACAACUCAGGUGGUGCUGGCCCCAUGUCUCCAGCGAGUCAUGCUGUUGGGAUGUGAGCAACUCCGUGCUGUGCUUUGGCCAGAAAUGGGGAUGCCCCAACUAAGUUUGCUCUGCAUUGACACUCGAGGAGGAGAAGAGGUCGGAAGAAUACCACCUGGUUUUGAUAAGUUAAAAAAGGGUGAUUGUCAAGCAUAUGUUGCUAUGAUGGACAUGAAAUUCAUUCAGUUAUUGGUGCUAACAAGUUCCAAUAUGUUUUGGAACACUAACAUUGAUAUGUUCAAUCUAAAUCUCUGCAUAUCUGCAAGUGGACAGUGGCGCAAUAAGAAGAAUAUGGACUCUGAUAACAGUGGGGAAAAAUUGGGGCCAGCCCUAGCAAAGCCAUUAAUGUCCAAUUCUUCUCACAACCCCUACAUUGAUGCAGGUAUUGACAACAUAAGUAUAGAUCAUGACUACAACAGUGCAUCCCAAUUUCAGUCAUCGACCUACCAUGUGGAGAUUGGUGAUGGAAUUAGCAACACUUGUGUCGAUAGCAUACAAGCAACCAAGGCUAUGAUCUUUGCAACGAACAAGGCCAAGUCGUUGUGUGUGCAUGACAAUUCUUCCAUCACCACAGUCAUCCCAGAACACAUGAUGUCCAUAGAGGGAGAGAAACUUUUAUGGCUAGAACUGGAAUCUUGUCACGUGGUGAGAUGCCCCAAGAUGCAUACAGUCUUCAAUACUAUCUAUGGAUACAUCAGAUUUCCAAAACUAGUGAACUUUUGUGCGGCUGAUCUGCUGAUGACCCAUUGCAUUUGGAGCAAAGAGAGGACACUCAAUGUUGAAGAUAAUCGCUCCUUUGCGAAACUGCAGAGCAUACACCUGUUCUCCUGCCCGAGGCUCACAUUUGUCCUCCAGUGGUCCAGGUUAUACAUCUUGAGUAGCCUGGAGACCCUCCACAUCGUCUUCUGUGGUGAUCUAAGGCAAGCGUUCCCUGUGGCGCCAGAGGUUCUGACAAGAAUAGCUAACUACCAUAAAGGUGUACUGGAAUUCCCAAACCUGAAGCAUAUCUACUUGCAUCAGCUCUUCAAGCUGCAACAUAUAUGUGAAGCCAAGAUGUUUGCUCCCAAGCUGGAGACCAUCAGGGUGAGGGGAUGCUGGGGUUUGAGGCGGCUCCCGGCUGUCGGCCGAGACAACCGCCCAGUUGUGGACUGCGAGAAGGAUUGGUGGGAGAAGUUGGAGUGGGACGGGCUGGAGGCUGGCCAUGACCCUUCCCUCUUCAAGCCACGCCACUCGGCGUAUUACAGGAAGCCCCUGCCUAGAUGCUCAGUUCUGUGUGUGUUUCCUUCCUCAAGAAUAAAGUGGUGCAUCAAGGCUUAA
RNAcentral lists this ribosomal RNA (2988 nucleotides) under Triticum aestivum (bread wheat). Its description in RNAcentral is "partial small subunit ribosomal RNA". The record is from RNAcentral. Lineage: Eukaryota; Viridiplantae; Streptophyta; Magnoliopsida; Poales; Poaceae.